CACCUGACGAGCACGCCGCGUGAGUGAAGAAGGUUUUCGGAUCGUAAAGCUCUGUUGUAAGAGAAGAACGUGUGUGAGAGUGGAAAGUUCACACAGUGACGGUAACUUACCAGAAAGGGACGGCUAACUACGUGCCAGCAGCCGCGGUAAUACGUAGGUCCCGAGCGUUGUCCGGAUUUAUUGGGCGUAAAGCGAGCGCAGGCGGUUUAAUAAGUCUGAAGUUAAAGGCAGUGGCUUAACCAUUGUUCGCUUUGGAAACUGUUAAACUUGAGUGCAGAAGGGGAGAGUGGAAUUCCAUGUGUAGCGGUGAAAUGCGUAGAUAUAUGGAGGAACACCGGUGGCGAAAGCGGCUCUCUGGUCUGUAACUGACGCUGAGGCUCGAAAGCGUGGGGAGCAAACAGGAUUAGAUACC
This 412-nucleotide ribosomal RNA is filed under the name Streptococcus pasteurianus. RNAcentral's name for it is "bacterial SSU rRNA". It matches the Rfam family "Bacterial small subunit ribosomal RNA", at positions 380 to 786 of the family's 1533-position model. The record is from RNAcentral. Lineage: Bacteria; Bacillati; Bacillota; Bacilli; Lactobacillales; Streptococcaceae.